This 1227-nucleotide ribosomal RNA is filed under the name Asolene spixii. RNAcentral describes it as "partial large subunit ribosomal RNA". The stretch from base 631 to 1227 matches the Rfam family "Archaeal large subunit ribosomal RNA", at positions 1424 to 2668 of the family's 2987-position model. Lineage: Eukaryota; Metazoa; Mollusca; Gastropoda; Architaenioglossa; Ampullariidae. The record is from RNAcentral.
UAAUUUAAUAAUGUAUACACAAAUUAAAUUUACUAUAAAUUAUAAAACAUUUGUUUUUUAGUAAAGGAGAUUGAAUUUAUUUUCUUGAGUUAAGUACUGUAAAGGAAUAAAUAAAAUUUUUGUUUAGCAGUAUUUAAUUACGUACCUUUUGCAUUAUGGCUUAGUAAGAAAAUGUAAAAUUAAAUUUUAUAUCUAGAAACCUAAUGAGCUACUUUAAUUUAGAGUUUUAGUUUAUAAGUAUAAAUGUAGCAAAAUUUAAAUUAAAAGUUAAAGUUGUAGUGAAAUUCUAUCCGUAUUAGGUGAUAGCUAGUUCUCUUAAACAUAUAUAUAAGUAUAAUUUUAUAAUUCUAAAUUUAUUUAUUUAAAUAAAUAAAUUUGAUAUAAAAGUCGAAUAUUCAAGGAUAAGCUUGGAUAUUUUAAAAGGGAAAUAAAAAUAAAUGAAAUUAUCUUAAGCUUGAAAUCAGCUAUAGUUUUGAAAAUCGUUAUAGAUUAUUUAAAAUAUAAUUAAGUAAUAAUUUAUAUAUUUAUCCUUUUAUGAUGCUAUAAGAGCAAGUAACUUAAUUGGUUUGGUUGCUUUGUUUUUGCUAAGAUGAGUAUUUUGAGAUAUUUUAGUAUAUUUUUUAAUUUAAAUUUCAAAAUAUAUUAACAUGACUAAAAUAAUUGUAAAAUUAAUAGAAGGAAUUCAGCAAAUAUUGGCUUCGCCUGUUUAGCAAAAACAUGGCUCUUUGUCUAGUUCUUAUAAAGAGUCAGACCUGCCCAGUGAAUUUUUUCAACGGCCGCGGUACUCUGACCGUGCGAAGGUAGCAUAAUCAUUUGCCUUUCAAUUGGAGGCUAGUAUGAAAGGUUUGACGAAAGCCAAGCUGUCUCCUGUUAAAUAAAAUAAAAUUGACUUUUAAGUGCAAAGGCUUGUAUUUAACUAGAAGACAAGAAGACCCUAUUGAGCUUUAAAAUUUAAAAAGACUAAAGUAUAUUAUAGCAAAAUUCUAAUUCUUUUAAACUUUUUAGUUGGGGCGACUUUGGAACAAUAGCAGCUUCCUAAAAUUAAGAAUACUUUUAAGUUUUGAUCCAAAAACUUUUGAUUAAUAGAAUUAGUUACCAUAGGGAUAACAGCAUAAUUCUUCUUGAGAGUCCUAAUCGAAAGAAGAGAUUGUGACCUCGAUGUUGGACUAGAAUACCCUAAAGGUGCAGAAGUUUUUAAAGGUUGGUCUGUUCGACCAUUAAAAUUCU